UACGGGGGGGGGCAAGCGUUGUUCGGAAUUACUGGGCGUAAAGGGCUCGUAGGUGGCCAACUAAGUCAGACGUGAAAUCCCUCAGCUUAACUGGGGAACUGCGUCUGAUACUGGAUGGCUUGAGUUUGGGAGAGGGAUGCGGAAUUCCAGGUGUAGCGGUGAAAUGCGUAGAUAUCAGGAGGAACACCGAUGGCGAAGGCAGGUCACUGGGCCGCAACUGACGCUGAGGCGACGGAAAGCCAGGGGAGCAAACGGG
RNAcentral lists this ribosomal RNA (256 nucleotides) under uncultured bacterium. RNAcentral's name for it is "partial 16S ribosomal RNA". It matches the Rfam family "Bacterial small subunit ribosomal RNA", at positions 524 to 776 of the family's 1533-position model. The record is from RNAcentral.